This 291-nucleotide ribosomal RNA is filed under the name Triticum aestivum (bread wheat). Its description in RNAcentral is "partial small subunit ribosomal RNA". Lineage: Eukaryota; Viridiplantae; Streptophyta; Magnoliopsida; Poales; Poaceae. The record is from RNAcentral.
CUCGAGGUGGCUGCUUGGGACUCCCUCCUCCAAGACGUGGCCCUUAUGCCGAUGAACAUCGAGGAGGACCAGGAUGCCAUUUCUUGGCACCUUGAGCCGUCUGGCCGCUUCUCCACAAAGUCCAUGUAUGCCGCCAUCGCGCCCUCGACAGCCCCGGAACCCUUUAGCCUGAUAUGGGACAUCUGCCUCCCUUUGAAGAUCAGGAUCCUCCUGUGGCAAUGGAUCCGCGGACGCCUCCCCUCUGAGGUUGAAGUCCUCAAGCGUAACGGCCCGGGAGAUGGGAGGUGUCCC